Oreochromis aureus is the source of this 520-nucleotide long non-coding RNA. The record is from Ensembl. Lineage: Eukaryota; Metazoa; Chordata; Actinopteri; Cichliformes; Cichlidae.
UGAAGAACAUUUUUGAACCAGGUAUGGCUUAUGUUGCUCUCAGCAGGGUGACGUCUCUCAGUGGACUCUAUUUACAGGACUUGGAUGAGAAAAAGAUUUACGCCAAUCCUGAGGUAACUGCAGCGCUCCAAACCAUGAGACAAGCCAGCGUUGAGGAAAUGAUGCCUCUUCUUCAGAGUCUCACCUCCAAGGCUCCUUUGUUGCAGACAGUCUUCAUUUGGACGGCUACACAAUGUUCAAACGCAACAGACAUGUGUCCUACACAAACUUUCCUCACAUGGCCAGCAGAAGUGGUGGUGGAGUUGUUGUGUAUUUGAGGAAUCAUUUUCAGGUUCAGGUAAAACAGUAUCUGCAUAAUGUCACUGAUCUUGAGUUUUUAGUGUUGAAGGUUCAGGCUCCAUUCCCUGCGCUCAUUGCUGUUGUGUACAGACCCCCUGACUACAGUUUGACACCGUUUAUGCAAAACCUGGUAAGUCUUUUAGAUUCACUUGAAAUAAUGGACUGUCACCCAAUAAUUGUG